AUGGGGGAACCCCCGCCCAAGCUCCGGGCAGCCGCCGCGACGUCGUGGCCGGAGCUGCUCGCGCCAUUCGACCUCUCUCGCCUCCGAUCCACGCUCUCCUCCCGCCCGCUCACCCCGCACCGUCUCGGGCGCCUCCUCGCGCUGCCGCUGUCCCCGGCCACCUCCCUCCUCCUCCUCCAGUGGUACGCCGCCUCCCACCCCGUCCUCUCGUCGCACCCCCUCCGCCCCUUGCUCGCCGCCGCCGACGCAGACCCAGAGCGCGCGCUCUCCCUCCUUGAAUCCCUCCCCUCCUCCCGCCACCCCCCUCUCCGGGAGACCCUCCUCAUACCGCUCCUGCGCUCCUUGCCCCCUGGCCGCGCCCUCCACCUGCUCGACCAGUUGCCCAGCCGCUUCGCCGUCUCGCCGUCCUUCCGCUCGUACAACACCGUCCUCGCGGCACUGGCCAGGGCGAACUGCCACGCCGAUGUGCUCGCGCUCUACCGCCGUAUGGUCCACCGGGACCGCAUCCCGCCCUCCACCUUUACCUUCGGUGUCGCUGCGCGCGCGCUCUGCCGCCUCGGACGUGCUGAUGAGGCGCUCGCGAUGCUCCGCAGCAUGGCGCGGCAUGGGUGUGUGCCCGAUGUGGUGCUCUAUCAGACGGUCAUCCACGCCCUGUGUGAGCAGGGUGAGGUCGCCGAGGCUACCACGCUCCUUGAUGAGAUGUUCCUCAUGGGGUGCUCUGCUGAUGUCAACACGUUCAAUGACAUUGUGCACGGGCUAUGCAUGCUUGGGCGUCUCCGCGAUGCUGCGAGGCUUGUGGACAGGAUGAUGAUAAGAGGCCGCGUGCCAAACACCAUGACAUACGGGUUCCUUAUCCAGGGCCUGUGCCGAGCAAGGCAGGUGGAUGAGGCACGCACAAUGCUCGGGAGGGUGCCGGAGUUGAAUGUCGUGUUAUUUAACACGGUGAUUGGCGGAUGUCUUUUGGAUGGGAAGCUAACAGAGGCGACGGAGCUGUAUGAGAUAAUGGGAUCAAAAGGCUGCCCACCAGAUGCACACACUUACAGUAUAUUGAUACAUGGGCUUUGCAAGCUUGGGAGGCUUGGUUCGGCCAUGCGGUUGCUUAGAGAGAUGGAGGAUAAGGGUUGUGCUCCAAACUUAGUGACCUACACGAUCUUGCUGCAUGCUUUUUGCAGGAAUGGCAUGUGGGAUGACAUGAGAGCAACGCUGAAGGUAAUGUUGGCAAAUGGCUUGAGUCUGAAUUCUCAAGGAUACAAUGGAAUGAUUUAUGCUGUAUGUAAGGAAGGCAGGAUGGAUGACGCGAUGUCACUCGUGCAAGAGAUGAAGAGUGAAGGCUGCAAGCCUGAUAUCUGCACGUAUAAUACAAUAAUUUAUCAUCUCUGCAACAAUGGCCAGAUCGAGGAGGCCGUGUAUCUAUUUGAAAAUUUGGUUGACGAGGGUGUUGUUGCGAAUAGAAUAACUUAUAAUACACUCAUUCAUGCACUGUUGUGCAAAGGAAGUUUGCAGGAUGCCAUACGCCUUGCAAAUGAAAUGGUACUUCAUGGUUGUUCGCUUGAUGUUGUUAGCUACAAUGGUCUGAUUAAAGCCCUGUGCAGAGAUGGGAAUGUUGAUCGGAGCAUGGUGUUGCUCGCAGAAAUGAUAGAAAAGGGAAUUAAGCCAAAUAACAUUUCAUACAACCUCUUGAUUAGUGAGCUCUGCAAGACAAGAAGGGUGCGUGAUGCACUAGAGCUCUCAAAGGAGAUGUUAAACCAAGGGCUUACUCCUGACAUUGUCACAUACAACACACUCAUAAAUGGAUUGUGCAAAAUGGGAUGGAUGCAUGCUGCGCUGAAUCUCCUAGAGAAGUUACAUUCUGAAAAUGUGCAUGCAGAUACUAUUACAUACAAUAUCCUCAUUAGUUGGCACUGCAAAGCGAGAUUGCUUGAUGACGCUAAUAUGCUUCUAAACAGAGCAGUGACUGUUGGGAUAACACCUAACGAGCGCACUUGGGGAAUUAUGGUGCAAAAUUUUGUUAGACAGCCACUCAAUUUUUUAUCCGAUGAGGUUGAAGGGCAUUAA
This 2055-nucleotide ribosomal RNA is filed under the name Triticum aestivum (bread wheat). RNAcentral describes it as "partial small subunit ribosomal RNA". Lineage: Eukaryota; Viridiplantae; Streptophyta; Magnoliopsida; Poales; Poaceae. The record is from RNAcentral.